AAAAUAGAUAAAAAAUUAUCUCCUAGAUUUUCUAGAGCAUACAAUUGAACAAGCUCAUUAAAUUCCACUACAUCUUAACAUAAUAUGAAAUUUGAAUCACCAAUUAGAAAUGCAUAUUAUUUAUCAUCAAAUAACUCGUGGUGACUAAUUGUGGGUAAUAGUUAUUUUAAUAACACACUAUCAAUGUUAUUUUUCGGUAACUAUUACAAUCUCUAGUUC
This is a non-coding RNA of Cinara cedri, 219 nucleotides long. The record is from the annotation of a GenBank genome assembly. Lineage: Eukaryota; Metazoa; Arthropoda; Insecta; Hemiptera; Aphididae.